AGGAAAAUAUGCAGCAAAUAAGGCUAUGGUGGUGCCUUGUCAUCCUGCAGAAUUUUCCCAUGCAGUCUGAAGAAGACAGGAUGCGGGAACGGAAGAGGCGGCGGCAGCAAAAGAGACUACAGGAUGGGGAAGACAUCCCACCAAAGAGGUUGCACCAAGGCACGUCUGCAUAAAUCCCUGCAGAAUGAAAAUCUUUUCAGAGCCAAGAGCACUGCAGUCUCAGGAGGGCAGUAGAUGUCCUUUACGUAUAUUUGUGAUGAUGUGUGUGAAUAAACUAAACUAAACAUGGAAAAAGACUUCUUCAUGAUCUACUCUAACACAUUCAUCACUAUUGUUUUAUUCUGCUGUCUAUGUGAAGGUAUAGUGCCCAGCAGUUUUGUUGAAAUGUGAAUCACAUGAAUCAGUGUGUUCUGAGAUUUAUUUUGUGUACCAGAAUCAAUGUUUUCUGCAGGUUGGUGAUGAGUUCACUUACAAGGACAUACAGUAGGUGUACCUCAGAGGGAAUAUCCCCUUUUUUCCUAUCCUUUAUUUUGCCUCUGAAUGUUCUUUUAUGCAGAUUGAAAAUCAUCACUAACAAUCAUCAAUGUGUUUAUCCCUGUGUAAAUGUCUCCAAGAGUGCCUGACAAUGCAGUAAGAAAUAAGAAAUCUCAAUGAAAACAAGAUGCUGAUCCUGUCUUAAUGACUGUGGGGUUCCACUAUGACUCAGAGGUCCUGUUAACCCUGUUUGAGUUUACAGAGGUGAGUAUUUACACAAAAACAUGGAUCUUAUCACAAGUUGGUUUCCUGCUCUGUCUAUUGUAAACCCACAAAAUAUAACUAAAAAAUGUGUUGUAGUUUCUGCAGUGUGAGCAAAUAUGUAUUUUAUCCAAUAAACAUGAAAGGUGCUCUGCCAAAUA
Notolabrus celidotus (New Zealand spotty) is the source of this 896-nucleotide long non-coding RNA. RefSeq lists it as uncharacterized. The record is from RefSeq and is a predicted model, not a curated record. The transcript has 3 exons. NCBI's taxonomy places the organism in Eukaryota, Metazoa, Chordata, Actinopteri, Labriformes, Labridae.